GACGAACGCUGGCGGCGUGCUUAACACAUGCAAGUCGAACGGAAAGGCCCUGCUUUUGUGGGGUGCUCGAGUGGCGAACGGGUGAGUAACACGUGAGUAACCUGCCCUUGACUUUGGGAUAACUUCAGGAAACUGGGGCUAAUACCGGAUAGGAGCUCCUGCUGCAUGGUGGGGGUUGGAAAGUUUCGGCGGUUGGGGAUGGACUCGCGGCUUAUCAGCUUGUUGGUGGGGUAGUGGCUUACCAAGGCUUUGACGGGUAGCCGGCCUGAGAGGGUGACCGGCGACAUUGGGACUGAGAUACGGCCCAGACUCCUACGGGAGGCAGCAGUGGGGAAUAUUGCACAAUGGGCGGAAGCCUGAUGCAGCACCGCCGCGUGCGGGAUGACGGCCUUCGGGUUUUAAACCGCUUUCGCCUGUGACGAAGCGUGAGUGACGGUAAUGGGUAAAGAAGCACCGGCUAACUACGUG
RNAcentral lists this ribosomal RNA (468 nucleotides) under uncultured bacterium. RNAcentral's name for it is "partial 16S ribosomal RNA". It matches the Rfam family "Bacterial small subunit ribosomal RNA", at positions 28 to 507 of the family's 1533-position model. The record is from RNAcentral.